UAUAUAUAUAUAUAUAUAUAUAUAUAUAUAUAUAUAUAUAAGAGUUGUACUAAAGGUAAUGGUUUAUUGGAUAUACACUAAUGAUUAAGGUUCCAUAAACACUGCCACACUUCUAUUACUAAUACACGAAAACAAACCAUGACAGAGAGAGAGAGAGAGAGAGAGAGAGAGAGAGAGAGAGAGAGAGAGAGAGAGAGAGAGAGAGAGAGAGAGAGAGAGAGAGAGAGAGAGAGAGA
Long non-coding RNA from Portunus trituberculatus (swimming crab), 236 nucleotides. RefSeq lists it as uncharacterized. The transcript is spliced from 2 exons. NCBI's taxonomy places the organism in Eukaryota, Metazoa, Arthropoda, Malacostraca, Decapoda, Portunidae. The record is from RefSeq and is a predicted model, not a curated record.